AUAACGAUACGGAACUCAUACGAGGCUCCGUAAUCGGAAUGAGUACACUUUAAAUCCUUUAACGAGGAUCUAUUGGAGGGCAAGUCUGGUGCCAGCAGCCGCGGUAAUUCCAGCUCCAAUAGCGUAUAUUAAAGUUGUUGCGGUUAAAAAGCUCGUAGUUGGAUCUCGGUUUCACUCAGGCGGUACACCUUGCGGUGUUCACUGUCUGGGCGGACGUUUCUGUUGGUUCGCUAUUGGUUCUCUUAAUCGAGUGCCAGCCGGUGGCCAGCACGUUUACUUUGAAAAAAUUGGAGUGCUCAAAGCAGGCGUUACAGCCUGAACAUUAGUGCAUGGAAUAAUGGAAUAGGAUCUCGAUUCUAUUUCGUUGGCUUUCGGAGUCGAGGUAAUGAUUAAUAGGGACAGACGGGGGCAUUCGUACUGCGACGUUAGAGGUGAAAUUCUUGGAUCGUCGCAAGACGAACUACUGCGAAAGCAUUUGCCAAGAAUGUUUUCAUUAAUCAAGAACGAAAGUUAGAGGUUCGAAGGCGAUCAGAUACCGCCCUAGUUCUAACCAUAAACGAUGCCAACCGGCGAUCCGUCGUCGUUAAUUGAAUGACUCGACGGGCAGCCUCCGGGAAACCAGAGUGUUUGGGUUCCGGGGGAAGUAUGGUUGCAAAGCUGAAACUUAAAGGAAUUGACGGAAGGGCACCACCAGGAGUGGAGCCUGCAGCUUAAUUUGACCCAACACGGGAAAUCUCACCAGGCCCGGACACCGGAAGGAUUGACAGAUUGAGAGCUCUUUCUUGAUUCGGUGGGUGGUGGUGCAUGGCCGUUCUUAGUUGGUGGAGCGAUUUGUCUGGUUAAUUCCGAUAACGAACGAGACUCUGGCCUACUAACUAGAAGGGCCGUUCUUUAUGAGCGGUCCUCUGCUUCUUAGAGGGACGGGCGGCGUUUAGCCGCACGAGAAUGAGCAAUAACAGGUCUGUGAUGCCCUUAGAUGUUCUGGGCUGCACGCGCGCUACACUGAAGGAAUCAGCAUGUUCUCCCCUCCCUGAAAAGGGCGGGUAACCCGUUGAAACUCCUUCGUGAUGGGGAUUGGAGAUUGUAAUUAUUCUCCAUGAACGAGGAAUUCCCAGUAGGCGCGAGUCAUCAGCUUGCGUCGAUUACGUCCCUGCCCUUUGUACACACCGCCCGUCGCUACUACCGAUCGAGUGAUUUAGUGAGGACUUCGGACUGGUCUUCAAGUUGGCUUCGGUCAGCUCGAAGCUCCGGAAAGAUGCCCAAACUUGAUCACUUAGA
RNAcentral lists this ribosomal RNA (1278 nucleotides) under metagenome. RNAcentral's name for it is "SSU rRNA". It matches the Rfam family "Eukaryotic small subunit ribosomal RNA", at positions 477 to 1777 of the family's 1831-position model. The record is from RNAcentral.